Molecule: small nucleolar RNA, 141 nt
Organism: Mastomys coucha (southern multimammate mouse)
Lineage: Eukaryota; Metazoa; Chordata; Mammalia; Rodentia; Muridae
Product: small nucleolar RNA SNORA48
Exons: 1
Source: RefSeq, a predicted model, not a curated record
ACCCCUGGCAAUGGGCAAAGUGACACCUUGCUAGUGAUAGUAUUCUUGUAUCAGUCUCGGGCAGCAGAUGGUAGUCCUUUUUUCAUCCUUGCUUAGUGCUGGGCUUAGUUGCCAAAGCUGUUUCAUGCUUAGGGUACAUAA